GGAAGAAAUUGUGACCUCCUGGGUCAUCACUCAGACUUCGAGUUUUCACAGCUGCUGUUCUGUCUGCCCGGAGAUCCCACUUCAUUUACAUUGGCCUGGUUGGCUUUUUACUUAAUCUCCAUAGAGUCCAGUGUGAGUGACUGUCCCUGACAGCACUUAGUAGUUCUGAGAGUCAAUGCAUGUAUCUUGUUCGAUUUAUUUACCCCAUUGCAUUGGAUUAUGGGUUUAACAGUCUCCCUGUCAUGCUGCAAAUGAAAUCUUUAUAUCCAAGCACCUGGGGCAAAGUUUUAAAAAUAAUGGCUCCUAUUUGAUUGAAUUAAAUGCUGAGAAAGUGGUUGCAUGGCUGGUUCCUCUUCACCGACAAGGCGGGGGAUGUUGCUUGUGAGUAGGACUGUAUCCUGAGCUAUCCGGAAGCCAUGUUCUAAAUCCUGGAAGAUAAGUGUGACCUUCUAGGCAGGAACUCUAAAAUAAGAAAUGGCUAACUGCACUUGGGAGUUCUGACAUGGAUUAAAAAUGACCUUGACAAGAGGAAACUGAGAAGGACUCCACUGGAGUCCCCAGGGGCCAUUUAGAGAACUUUCUUGGAAAACUGAGGAGGGAAAGAGACUCUGGACCAAGCAUAAAAUCAAAGAAUGGUGUAAUGUUGGUUGAGAAUAAGUUUUGGAAGGCUGGGGUCUAAGACGAGCUGCAUCCUGGAAACCUUACCAUGAACAGUCAGAAUGUUUGCUACGUCCACAGCAGGACACACGCACAGGGACAACAGUGAGCCUUCAUCCAAGCUGCUGCUAAGCUACUGUCACGGAUGGCUGAACCGGAGCAGCUGGCCAGGCUGCCGGAGCUCCGUGGCUGGGCAGACCAGCUGGCUUCGAGUAGACCACAUCCCCCAAAGCACUAAGAGGCCUGGGGGAAAGGAAGAGGAUAUGCCUUGACAACCUUCUAAAUUAUGGAUGACACCAGUCCUCAGCCUGUUUGAGCUGCCACAGAAGCAAGACCUUCUCUGCAGCCAUGAGUAAGAUACAAGCAUCAGGAACGGUGUGUGCUGCAUAUGACAUCACUUCCUCCGCUCACCCUUGUGGAGCUGUGUGGAAGCAGGCUUAUUUUGAUUAAAUUAAUUUUUAUUUUUAGCCUCUGCAUGAGGAAGUGGUUAGUUUACUUAAUCUCCACGUCUCUCCAAAUAGGAAAGAGAUGUUUUGGAAGCCUUGCCUGAAUGCAUACAUUAUAAAGCAAAUAAAAAAAUCACAAACAAACAAACAACCCGAACAUUCGCUCGUGAGAGAAAACCAAUAAUGGUCACAAUGAAGAUCAAAAAUGAAUUUCAAUGAGGAAGCACAGAUGAGGCCUUGAGGUGGCUCUGUAUGGUUGCUGGAAAGUCAGCUUCAUGCGUGGCUCAGAAGGCAAGGGAAUGUUCUCUUUCUUUCUUUUCACUGUGUUGUCACCCUUACACAUCUGGGAGAAGAAAACAUCAACUGAAGAAUUGCCUCCGGCAGACUGGCUUCUGAGCAUGUCUGUGAGGCAUUGCAUUGGCUGGCUGAUGAUUGACGGCAGAGGGUUCAGCCCACUGUGGGUGGUGCCAUUCUGGCUGAGCACGUGGUUCUGGGUUGUAAAAGAAAGAUGGCUGAGCGCAAGCAGGGCUAACAAGCGGUGCUCCUUUAUGAUUACUGCUUCAAGCUCCUGCCUUACGUUCCUGCUGUGGCUUCUCCUUAUGAUGGGCUGUCAAGUGGAAGAUGAAAUGACCUUUCCAUUCCCCAAGUGGUUUUGCUUCAUUUCCGGAAGAACUUCAAUUCCAUUGGCCUUCGUACACGUCUACUUUUUCCAAGCUCCCGUGUUUGGAACUAUAUCUGUUACUCUGAAGCAUGAAUUGAUCACCUGUGCUGUGAUAAACGGGCACUGUGGCUGAUGGCGAGGAGCCAGGAGGAUAAGGUGGAGACUUUGCCUUCAAGGGGCUCACAGUCAAGUGGGGAAGUGGCAUAGAAACCAGUCCCAUCUUUCCAUUUCUAUGAAGCACUUUAUAUCCCAAGGGCCAGGAAAGGCCUUCCAGGAGGUCGAAGGGCAAGAGCUGUGACUUGUGGCUCAUUCGAAGACAGCAGGCUUGCCCAUAUUGCAGGAGGAGCCUACGAGGAAGGAUAAAGAUUGAGGUCCAGGGAAGGUAAGGUGACUGUCAUCCAAGGGCCCAGGAGGAUGCUAAGGAAUUACUCUCUGCACUGCACCAAUCCCGUGGAGUGGCCCUUAACUUCAGUGCUGCGGCCCUUCAAUACAGUUGCUCAUGGUGGUGACCCCCAACCAUAAAGUGACUUUUGUUGCUACUUCACAAGUGCAAUUUUACUGUUACUGUUAUGAUCUUAGGUGGUCCCUGUGAAAGAGUUCUUCAGCCCCCAAAAGGGUCAUGACUGAACCAUGGUGUUGACCCCUCCUCAGUUCACUGGACUCAUGUAAACAUUACCCCUUCUUCCUGGCUUUCCCCUUGAAGCCUUUUCUUACUUUAUCCCAAAGCCGUCUCUCCCCCGAGCUUUUAUGUCAGUUUCUAUCUUGUACUAUCUGUGAUACAAGAAUCAUGGCAUGUAUUAUUUCCAUGGAAAGGUUGCCUAUUUUAAAAUAGUUAUUUACUUUUAUCAUUUAGUUUGAUCUGUAAAGCAGAAUAAGCAGUAUUUCUCUCUGUGUUAUCUUGAGCUUCUAAAAUAACUGCUGUUUGUGUCUCUGUUCCCGGUUAGACUGAGACCCUCUUCAACACAGGGUUGCCUCGGGCUUCAGUAAGCCUACCACAUCUCACACAGAAUUACUGUUCACUACAUGUAGCAAAUUAUUUUCUAGAGAUUUAUUUAUUAUAGCUUGUGUGUUUAAGUACACCAUAUGCAUUCUUAGUGCUUAUAGAGGCCAGAAGGUGGCACUGAAUCCCCUCGUUGUGAGCCCCCAUGGUGGGGAUCCAAUCAGGAUCCUCUUCAAAAGCAGCAAGUGUUCGAAACCAUGGAGUCCUCUUCCCAGCCCCCAAGUGUGAGUCUUUCUUUCUAAAACUGUGUAACUUUGCAUAAUAUUAUGUUCAUUCCUUUCAGAUGUGUGCUGUGUGCCUGGGCUUAGUCAUCGGAGGCUUCCAGGGUUAAGCUGAAGAAGGAGAUGCAUAGUUUGUGGAUUGGAGUGAUGCCCUAGAUUUUAGAGAAUGGAGUUGAGUACUCUGUAUAUGGGAUUUCAACUGCCCAUGAAAAUUCUUUACAGUUCAAGAUAUUUUAAAUAUUGACCUUACUCACGUGUCAAUGAAAGGCAACUACUUUGAAAACAAGACAACUUGUGUUACAAAAGAACUAACAAAACCCAGAAACAUUUCACAAACAUACAUCCAACUGUGAACAGUCUCUUUAUGUCUUCUCACUUUCAUAUCUGCACAUUUAUUGCAGCACCAUGCUUCCUCUGCCUGAUGCAUCGCUGGACUGAUUCUUCACUUCUUACACAUUCCCCCCUCCCCUCUGUCUGUUGGAUAUCUUCUUUAUUACAUUU
Mus musculus (house mouse) is the source of this 3486-nucleotide long non-coding RNA. RefSeq annotates it as predicted gene, 39840. Lineage: Eukaryota; Metazoa; Chordata; Mammalia; Rodentia; Muridae. The record is from RefSeq and is a predicted model, not a curated record. The transcript is spliced from 3 exons.